AUGACAGACUUCAUGUGUUUAGGUUGUACAACAACAGGACUAUCUUACAAUAGCAGAACUUUUAGUAAGACGUUGCAGACUUGUCCAUACCUGUGUGGCCGUCACAGAGUCAUUCUGGAAGCUGAAGAGAGAUAUAAAAAGAAACUUCAGAAAUCAUCUGGCUCUAACAAAGGACAUGCAACUUAUGAGAAAAUAGUGCUGACUCCAGUGAAGAAAGGAAAACUGCUAGUAGAGACAUCUUUAAAGAGCAAACAGGAUAAUUUCCAAAGUAUUCUUUUGACUCCAAUUAGAAAAAGCAAACCCAAUACUUUGAAUAGAUAUGAACAUAAUAAAAAUUCUCAGUUAACUGAAGAAUAUAACUUGCAAC
Molecule: long non-coding RNA, 367 nt
Filed under: Chrysolophus pictus (golden pheasant)
Lineage: Eukaryota; Metazoa; Chordata; Aves; Galliformes; Phasianidae
Description: lncRNA (ENSCPIG00010013994.1)
Source: RNAcentral